CUCGUUUUCGAAUUCAUCGAGAAUGUUUCCGAUUCUGGAAAAAAUGUUUUCGAUAGCGGAAGAAAUUGCUUCCAAAAUCGAAAGCGCUUUGUUGCCUACUCUUUGAGAGUGUAGCGUGCCGCAGCCAAUGCGUUACGAACUGUCAAAAUCAGCCGCAAAGAAGGAAAACAACAAAAAAUCGGUCUCGCGUUGUUGUUGUUUUUUUUUCGACUUUGCCGCCGCCUUUUUUCGUGUAUUUUUCGAAUUUGCCGCCGCGAUUUCAGUUUAUCAAAAUACGUCUCGCUUCCCGAACCGGGCCCGCUAACUGCCAUCAUCCUACUCCGUGACCGGAACCGGUAAAUCUUCUUUUCUGCAGUGGCCCAUCCGCUGGGAAUAAAAACGUUCUGUUGCUCCAUGUUGACCGCCGCGGCCACCUCCGCUGCUGGUAAUGCCGGCCAACGUCAAAAACGGUACCUGGAAAUAGACAUUCACAAGGAGUACAAAAAGCCUCCCUUUUCGGUCCAUUCUCCCAGCCAUCGAAUCUGAACCACUCAGAAAACUCCGAUCCGCCGAACCAAGCCGGCUGCUCACCCCCGGUUGUAUGACAACGAUGAGCGAGAUAGCGAUAGCGAGAAGUCGGCCACAACGGGAAGAAUCCGCCGUUCACCUCCCGGAAGUAGACCAGGAGCUGUUUAAAAUCAGUGAGAAGAAAAUUGAGAGGAUCGCGUGGGCAAAUAACAACGGUUCCGAUCAUUUUUGGGAAAGCUGGCGGGACUGGCGGUUUCGCAAAACGAACCAGGUGGAAACUUGCCUUCUGGUGUGAUAUUAUAUUCCCAA
Culex pipiens pallens (northern house mosquito) is the source of this 816-nucleotide long non-coding RNA. RefSeq lists it as uncharacterized. The transcript has 3 exons. The record is from RefSeq and is a predicted model, not a curated record. Lineage: Eukaryota; Metazoa; Arthropoda; Insecta; Diptera; Culicidae.